ACUUAUUUAGUAUAAGAAGUACGGCUGCCUUCCAAGUAGCGGGUUUAAGUGAUGUUUUAAAAUAAGUA
RNAcentral lists this transfer RNA (68 nucleotides) under Haliotis rufescens (red abalone). RNAcentral describes it as "tRNA-Gly". The record is from RNAcentral. RNAcentral also lists the same sequence under 2 other names. Lineage: Eukaryota; Metazoa; Mollusca; Gastropoda; Lepetellida; Haliotidae.